AAACAACUCUCAGCAACGGAUAUCUUGGCUCUUGCAACGAUGAAGAACGCAGCGAAAUGCGAUACGUAGUGUGAAUUGCAGAAUUCCGCGAAUCAUCGAGUCUUUGAACGCAAGUUGCGCCCGAGGCUUGUCCGAGGGCAUCUCUGCCAGAGCGUCACC
RNAcentral lists this ribosomal RNA (159 nucleotides) under Trichostomopsis paramicola. RNAcentral describes it as "Didymodon paramicola 5.8S ribosomal RNA". It matches the Rfam family "5.8S ribosomal RNA". From Rfam's summary of the family: 5.8S ribosomal RNA (5.8S rRNA) is a component of the large subunit of the eukaryotic ribosome. Lineage: Eukaryota; Viridiplantae; Streptophyta; Bryopsida; Pottiales; Pottiaceae. The record is from RNAcentral. RNAcentral also lists the same sequence under 3 other names.